Long non-coding RNA from Melospiza melodia melodia, 181 nucleotides. RefSeq lists it as uncharacterized. Lineage: Eukaryota; Metazoa; Chordata; Aves; Passeriformes; Passerellidae. The transcript has 3 exons. The record is from RefSeq and is a predicted model, not a curated record.
UGACCCUCUCUUGCUGUUCCCACUGGGUGUCAUAAACUCCAUGACUCCUUCCAAGAAACGUUAAGGGACUGUAGAAACCUGGUCCUGAUGACCCAGCUACCAUGUUCCAAUUCACUUCUUCCCCUCCCUUGAAGGACUGUAGCUCUUCAGCAAAAGGCAACUGCAGCCAAGAUUCCAGUCC